CUCUGUAGGUAAGAUUCGACAUUGAAGAAACACGUUAUAGGACGGCUGAAAUACAGUCCUUACGUAUUAAAAUUUUUAUUGACUGCCCUUUAUAACACUUUGUUUUUCUAUAAAUUAAGCAAAUAUUAAUUGUUGAGCUUUAUUUGUUGAUUUUCAUUUAAUUUUGGACUUUAGUGUACGGGUCGAAGCGUUACUUCGUACAGUCCGCCUUACUUAAUAUUUCCUUUUCUGACAAUAUCGGUCCAUCAAGUCGAGACGACAGUUUUUGACAAGGUCCUUGUUAUUCUUCGUUUGCUGGAAAUCUUAGUAGACGAUGCAGGCGAUUAAGUGUGUCGUGGUGGGUGACGGUGCGGUGGGUAAAACAUGUUUGCUGAUCAGCUACACUACCAAUGCCUUCCCAGGCGAAUACAUUCCUACAGUGUUUGACAAUUACUCUGCGAAUGUUAUGGUAGAUGGUAAGCCAAUAAACCUUGGCCUUUGGGAUACGGCUGGUCAAGAAGAUUACGAUAGAUUGCGGCCACUUUCGUACCCACAGACUGAUGUUUUCUUGAUCUGCUUCUCGCUGGUCAAUCCAGCAAGUUUUGAGAAUGUUCGAGCCAAAUGGUAUCCUGAGGUUCGUCAUCAUUGUCCAGCUACACCCAUAAUUUUGGUUGGCACUAAGUUAGAUCUGCGUGAAGACAAAGAAACUAUUGAAAGAUUAAAAGAUAAGAAACUGGCACCUAUAACAUAUCCUCAGCAGGGCUCACACCUUGGCACGAUUGACGGUCACAUAUUAUGUGGCAUAUCGCGGACACCGUGUGAGGACAUUGUAGGGAUUUACGUACCACCUGCAAGUCGUACGGGCACUGUAUUGGUAGUCCAGCAGACAUAUCGCUCUCUCACGCCGGGCAGCCUGCGUGCUACAUCACGCAUUGUUAUCUAGGAUAUUUCAUACAGCAUUAGGAUCUCCGAGGGAAACAUCCCUUAUUUCUCAUAAAGAAAAAUGCAUUUUAAGAGGGUCAACUACGCCUUAUUAGUGUUUACCUUUCUUUGAAAAAAUAUUUGUACGUUAAGAUAACAAUUGAUGCGCAGGAUGCGCGCACUAUGGAGGCAUGUGUGCGGAUUAAUCCGCCUGACGUGCGUUUUGAUCAGCACUCAGAUGCGCCAUCCAUGGAGGCUCAUAUGCGACGCACGCCAUACGAGGCACGCGCGUGUGUGAAUGAAGCAAACACUCGGUGCGCGUGGGUUGACUAUCCUAAAAU
Belonocnema kinseyi is the source of this 1241-nucleotide RNA transcript. It is a transcript of the gene named ras-related protein Rac1, with no coding region annotated. The transcript is spliced from 5 exons. The record is from RefSeq and is a predicted model, not a curated record. NCBI's taxonomy places the organism in Eukaryota, Metazoa, Arthropoda, Insecta, Hymenoptera, Cynipidae.